Molecule: ribosomal RNA, 651 nt
Filed under: uncultured bacterium
Lineage: Bacteria
Description: bacterial SSU rRNA
Rfam family: Eukaryotic small subunit ribosomal RNA
Source: RNAcentral
GCUGUUUCGCAAAGUAAUUAAGAGUCAAUGUUAAAGGAGGAAAUGCCUUUAAAUGUUAAGACUGGUAUUUGAUUUAAAAGAUGGCCAGCAGCCGCGGUAACUCCAGCUCCAAGAGUGUAUAUUAAAGUUGUUGCAGUUAAAAAGCUCGUAGUUGGAUUUCGAAUUUUGCGUUUAGGUUGGUAAUUAUAUUACCAAUCGACUUGUCAAAGUUCUACUUUUGUAGGUAGAAAUACUUACAAUUGUUUACUGUGAAAAAAUUAGAGUGUUUAAAGCAGGCAUUUUUGCCUUGAAUAUUUCAGCAUGGGAUAAUCAAAUAUGACAUUGGUCAUAAUUUGUUGGUUUCUAUGGCUAGUGUAAUGAUUAAAAGGGACAGUCGGUGUGACUUGUAUUGGCUCGUUAGGGGUGAAAUCCUAUGAUCGAGUCAAGACAAACUACUGCGAAAGCAUUUCACAAGGAUGUUUUCAUUAAUCAAGAACGAAAGUUGGGGGAUCGAAGAUGAUCAGAUACCGUCGUAGUCUCAACUGUAAACGAUGUCGACUUAGGAUCAGGAGAUAUUACAUGGAUGAUUCUCCUGGCACUAUGUGAGAAAUCAUAAGUAUCCAGACUCUGGGGGGAGUAUGGCCGCAAGACUGAAACUCAAAGGAAUUGACG